This 497-nucleotide ribosomal RNA is filed under the name uncultured bacterium. RNAcentral describes it as "partial 16S ribosomal RNA". It matches the Rfam family "Bacterial small subunit ribosomal RNA", at positions 28 to 507 of the family's 1533-position model. The record is from RNAcentral.
GAUGAACGCUGGCGGCGUGCCUAAUACAUGCAAGUCGAGCGAACAGACGAGGAGCUUGCUCCUCUGACGUUAGCGGCGGACGGGUGAGUAACACGUGGAUAACCUACCUAUAAGACUGGGAUAACUUCGGGAAACCGGAGCUAAUACCGGAUAAUAUAUUGAACCGCAUGGUUCAAUAGUGAAAGACGGUUUUGCUGUCACUUAUAGAUGGAUCCGCGCCGCAUUAGCUUGUUGGUAAGGUAACGGCUUACCAAGGCAACGAUGCGUAGCCGACCUGAGAGGGUGGUCGGCCACACUGGAACUGAGACACGGUCCAGACUCCUACGGGAGGCAGCAGUAGGGAAUCUUCCGCAAUGGGCGAAAGCCUGACGGAGCAACGCCGCGUGAGUGAUGAAGGUCUUCGGAUCGUAAAACUCUGUUAUUAGGGAAGAACAAAUGUGUAAGUAACUAUGCACGUCUUGACGGUACCUAAUCAGAAAGCCACGGCUAACUACGUG